AUAUAUAAAUAAUUCACACAUGCAUAUACGCCUUAAGGUUAGUUGGAAGUGGAAGAGUCAGCGUUCAGCCAUUGCAAAUUGCAACUCUGUUCCAAAGACGCGUUGUGCGCGAAUGAUUUAUUCCACUUAAUUAUUUAAUUAAUAGAAUUAUUAUUUUUUCGUUUGAUAUCGUUAGAACCAUCUAACAAAACAGUGAUAAUCAUGAGCGAUCGACCAAGUAAUGGUGAAUUUAAGUAUAAAAGAGAAGAAAAUUCUGAUUCGGAGGCAAAAACAUCGUCGGAAAAGGAACGUGAUGAAAAGAAGUAUCAAGUUGACAAAGCCGGAGAAUAUGUUCGAGAACUUUUACAAGAAAAAGUUGAAUUGGAUUCGCAAAAAUGGCCUAAUGCAACAAGACUAAUUGAUCAAGAAAUUCAGAAAACUCAAGCUAUUGGCAAACCAGUAAGAGAUCCGAAAUAUGUGGAUAUUUAUCGUGAAAAACCAAUUCGAGUUUCGGUUAAAGUAUUGGUGCCUGUUCGAGAACAUCCAAAGUUUAAUUUUGUUGGAAAAUUAUUGGGACCGAAAGGUAAUUCUAUGAAACGUUUACAAGAAGAAACAAUGUGUAAAAUGGCAGUAUUAGGAAGAGGAUCCAUGAAAGAUCGUCAAAAAGAAGAAGAAUAUCGUAUGUCUCUGGAUCCGAAAUAUGCUCAUCUUUCGGAUGAUUUACAUGUUGAAAUAACAGCGCUUGCACCUCCGGCAGAAGCUUAUGCUCGUAUUGCAUUUGCGUUAGCCGAAGUUCGGAAAUAUUUGAUCCCAGAUAAUAAUGACAAUAUACGUCAAGAACAAAUGCGCGAAAUGGAAAUGAGUAUGGCAGAUGAUCCAACGAGUAAUGACGAUAGAAGACCUUCUGUCAGAGGUGUACCAGGUGCUGGUGGAAUAUUAAGACCAUCCGCAAGGCCAACAAUGCAACGAUCUUCGCGAGCGGCAAUACUUCCACCGCCUUCUAGUCGGGGACCAAUUACACGUCCUGUAUCAGCAAAAAGUAAAGUUUUUUCUAUUUUAGAUCGUGCAAGAGUCGCCAUGGAUCAGAGUUAUGGCUAUGAAACUGCUACUCCACCUCCAAGUAAUCGUGUUGGAACUCAUCAUGAUUAUGAUUACCACACAUCAACAAGCAGUAGUAGCCGAUAUGGAGACCGACAUUAUACAUCAACAUCAGGAGAUGAUAUGUAUCCUUCCUCGAGGUACGCAACUUACGAAUACGAAGAUGAUACUGUGCCACACUCUUCUCACAAUUACUAUGAAACAUCAGAAUAUCCAGGUGUAUAGAGGAAUACAGAAGAUUGUGUGGGAACACGUUUUCAUGGAUUGAAAUAUUUUAAUCUCCUAUUUCUCUAUUCAGCGGAGUUUGAAGUGCCUUGAAAUCAUGCAAUGGGAUGUACAGACUAUGCACAAUUAUAAUUACAUCAGUUGAAGAAAUAAUGAAGAACUUAAACAGUGUAACUAUUAAACAGUGACUGGUAUGGUAAAAUACAAGAUAUAUAUUUUAAAUAUCCUCAAAAUUCAAUGUCGGUUCACAAUUCUUCCAAUGCAAUAGACAGAAUUUUCAAAAAUA
Molecule: unclassified non-coding RNA, 1588 nt
Filed under: Apis florea (little honeybee)
Lineage: Eukaryota; Metazoa; Arthropoda; Insecta; Hymenoptera; Apidae
Description: kH domain-containing, RNA-binding, signal transduction-associated protein 3, transcript variant X3
Source: RNAcentral